CCAAUAGCGUAUAUUAAAGUUGUUGCAGUUAAAAAGCUCGUAGUUGAACUUCGGGAUUUGUUCAUUGGUCAGGCUUAAUUGUCUGUACUGGUGUGUCGAAUUCCUACCUUCUGACGAAUCUUCAUGCCAUUUAGUUGGUGCGGAGGGGAAUCAGGACUGUUACUUUGAAAAAAUUAGAGUGUUUAAAGCAGGCUAUUGCUCGAAUACAUUAGCAUGGAAUAAUAAAAUAGGACGGUUGGUUUUAUUUUGUUGGUUUCUAGGAUCACCGUAAUGAUUAAUAGGGAUAGUUGGGGGCAUUAGUAUUCAAUUGUCAGAGGUGAAAUUCUUGGAUUUAUUGAAGACUAACUAUUGCGAAAGCAUUUGCCAAGGAUGUUUUCAUUAAUCAAGAACGAAAGUUAGGGGAUCGAAGACGAUCAGAUACCGUCGUAGUCUUAACCAUAAACUAUGCCGACUAGGGAUCGGACGAAGUUAAUUUUUAAAUGACUCGUUCGGCACCUUACG
RNAcentral lists this ribosomal RNA (501 nucleotides) under uncultured Glomeromycotina. RNAcentral describes it as "partial small subunit ribosomal RNA". It matches the Rfam family "Eukaryotic small subunit ribosomal RNA", at positions 591 to 1092 of the family's 1831-position model. The record is from RNAcentral. Lineage: Eukaryota; Fungi; Glomeromycota.